Molecule: ribosomal RNA, 490 nt
Filed under: uncultured bacterium
Lineage: Bacteria
Description: partial 16S ribosomal RNA
Rfam family: Bacterial small subunit ribosomal RNA
Source: RNAcentral
AUUGAACGCUGGCGGCAGGCCUAACACAUGCAAGUCGAACGGUAACAGGAAGAAGCUUGCUUCUUUGCUGACGAGUGGCGGACGGGUGAGUAAUGUCUGGGAAACCGCCUGAUGGAGGGGGAUAACUACUGGAAACGGUAGCUAAUACCGCAUAACGUCGCAAGACCAAAGAGGGGGACCUUCGGGCCUCUUGCCAUCGGAUGUGCCCAGAUGGGAUUAGCUAGUAGGUGGGGUAACGGCUCACCUAGGCGACGACCCCUAGCUGGUCUGAGAGGAUGACCAGCCACACUGGAACUGAGACACGGUCCAGACUCCUACGGGAGGCAGCAGUGGGGAAUAUUGCACAAUGGGCGCAAGCCUGAUGCAGCCAUGCCGCGUGUAUGAAGAAGGCCUUCGGGUUGUAAAGUACUUUCAGCGGGGAGGAAGGGAGUAAAGUUAAUACCUUUGCUCAUUGACGUUACCCGCAGAAGAAGCACCGGCUAACUCCGUG